Molecule: ribosomal RNA, 496 nt
Filed under: uncultured bacterium
Lineage: Bacteria
Description: partial 16S ribosomal RNA
Rfam family: Bacterial small subunit ribosomal RNA
Source: RNAcentral
AUGAACGCUGGCGGCGUGCCUAAUCCAUGCAAGUCGCGCGAACGGACGAGAAGCUUGCUUCUCUGAUGUUAGCGGCGGACGGGUGAGUAACACGUGGAUAACCUACCUAUAAGACUGGGAUAACUUCGGGAAACCGGAGCUAAUACCGGAUAAUAUUUUGAACCGCAUGGUUCAAAAGUGAAAGACGGUCUUGCUGUCACUUAUAGAUGGAUCCGCGCUGCAUUAGCUAGUUGGUAAGGUAACGGCUUACCAAGGCAACGAUGCAUAGCCGACCUGAGAGGGUGAUCGGCCACACUGGAACUGAGACACGGUCCAGACUCCUACGGGAGGCAGCAGUAGGGAAUCUUCCGCAAUGGGCGAAGGCCUGACGGAGCAACGCCGCGUGAGUGAUGAAGGUCUUCGGAUCGUAAAACUCUGUUAUUAGGGAAGAACAUAUGUGUAAGUAACUGUGCACAUCUUGACGGUACCUAAUCAGAAAGCCACGGCUAACUACGUG